UAGUCAUAUGCUUGUCUCAAAGAUUAAGCCAUGCAUGUCUAAGUAUAAACACGUUAUACUGUGAAACUGCGAAUGGCUCAUUAAAUCAGUUAUAGUUUAUUUGAUGGUUUUUGCUACAUGGAUAACUGUGGUAAUUCUAGAGCUAAUACAUGCGUACAAGCCCCGACUUCUGGAAGGGGUGUAUUUAUUAGAUAAAAAUCAACACUGUUGGUGAAUCAUGAUAACUUCUCGGAUCGCAUGGCCUCGUGCUGGCGAUACUUCAUUCAAAUAUCUGCCCUAUCAACUUUCGAUGGUAGGAUAGUGGCCUACCAUGGUAUCAACGGGUAACGGGGAAUUAGGGUUCGACUCCGGAGAGGGAGCCUGAGAAACGGCUACCACAUCCAAGGAAGGCAGCAGGCGCGCAAAUUACCCAAUCCCGACACGGGGAGGUAGUGACAAUAAAUACUGAUACAGGGCUCUUUUGGGUCUUGUAAUUGGAAUGAGUACAAUUUAAAUCCCUUAACGAGGAACAAUU
RNAcentral lists this ribosomal RNA (514 nucleotides) under uncultured eukaryote. RNAcentral describes it as "SSU rRNA". It matches the Rfam family "Eukaryotic small subunit ribosomal RNA", at positions 21 to 549 of the family's 1831-position model. The record is from RNAcentral.